AGGUGGUUGAUUAAGACAGGCGUGAAAUCCCCGGGCUUAACCUGGGAACUGCGCUUGUGACUGGUCAGCUAGAGUACGGCAGAGGGGGGUGGAAUUCCACGUGUAGCAGUGAAAUGCGUAGAGAUGUGGAGGAACACCGAUGGCGAAGGCAGCCCCCUGGGCCGAUACUGACGCUCAUGCACGAAAGCGUGGGUAGCAAACAGGAUUAGAAACCCCUGUAGUCC
RNAcentral lists this ribosomal RNA (224 nucleotides) under Escherichia coli. Its description in RNAcentral is "partial 16S ribosomal RNA". It matches the Rfam family "Bacterial small subunit ribosomal RNA", at positions 573 to 796 of the family's 1533-position model. The record is from RNAcentral. Lineage: Bacteria; Pseudomonadati; Pseudomonadota; Gammaproteobacteria; Enterobacterales; Enterobacteriaceae.